Molecule: long non-coding RNA, 3245 nt
Organism: Micropterus salmoides (largemouth bass)
Lineage: Eukaryota; Metazoa; Chordata; Actinopteri; Centrarchiformes; Centrarchidae
Exons: 4
Source: RefSeq, a predicted model, not a curated record
AGCCAAGACCAGAACACAGGGGUACUGAACACAAGUACAGAAGUACAGAGGCAGAACCAGGACACAGGUACAGAACACAGGUACAGAGGCAGAACCAGGACACAGAGGCGCAGAACAGAGGUACAGAGGCACAGGACACAGGUACAGAGGCAGAACCAGGACACAGGACACAGAGGUAUAGAACACAGGUACUGAGCCAAGACCAGAACACAGGGGUACUGAACACAAGUACAGAAGUACAGAGGCAGAACCAGGACACAGGUACAGAACACAGGUACAGAGGCAGAACCAGGACACACAGGUACAGAACACAGGACACAGAGGUAUAGAACACAGAACACAGGUACAGAGGCAGAACCAGGACACAGAGGUGCAGAACAGAGGUACAGAGGCAGAACCAGGACACAGGUACAGAACACAGGUACAGAGGCAGAACCAGGACACAGAGGUACAGAACACAGGACACAGAGGUAUAGAACACAGGUACUGAGCCAAGACCAGAACACAGGGGUACUGAACACAAGUACAGAAGUACAGAGGCAGAACCAGGACACAGGUACAGAACACAGGUACAGAGGCAGAACCAGGACACACAGGUACAGAACACAGGACACAGAGGUAUAGAACACAGGUACAGAGCACAGGACACAGAGGCACAGAACACGGGUACAGAGGCAGAACCAGGACACAGAGGUAUAGAACACAGGUACAGAGGCAGAACCAGGACACAGAGGUAUAGAACACAGGUACAGAGGCAGAACCAGGACACAGAGGUAUAGAACACAGGUACAGAGGCAGAACCAGGACACAGAGGUAUAGAACACAGGUACAGAGGCAGAACCAGGACACAGAGGUACAUAACACAGGUACAGAGGCAGAACCAGGACACAGAGGUAUAGAACACAGGUACAGAGGCAGAACCAGGACACAGAGGUAUAGAACACAGGUACAGAGGCAGAACCAGGACACAGAGGUAUAGAACACAGGUACAGAGGCAGAACCAGGACACAGAGGUGCAGAACACAGGUACAGAGGCAGAACCAGGACACAGAGGUAUAGAACACAGGUACAGAGCACAGGACACAGAGGCACAGAACACGGGUACAGAGGCAGAACCAGGACACAGAGGUAUAGAACACAGGUACAGAGGCAGAACCAGGACACAGAGGUAUAGAACACAGGUACAGAGGCAGAACCAGGACACAGAGGUAUAGAACACAGGUACAGAGGCAGAACCAGGACACAGAGGUACAUAACACAGGUACAGAGGCAGAACCAGGACACAGAGGUAUAGAACACAAGUACAGAGGCAGAACCAGGACACAGAGGUACAUAACACAGGUACAGAGGCAGAACCAGGACACAGAGGUAUAGAACACAGGUACAGAGGCAGAACCAGGACACAGAGGUGCAGAACACAGGUACAGAGGCAGAACCAGGACACAGAGGUAUAGAACACAAGUACAGAGGCAGAACCAGGACACAGAGGUACAUAACACAGGUACAGAGGCAGAACCAGGACACAGAGGUAUAGAACACAGGUACAGAGGCAGAACCAGGACACAGAGGUGCAGAACACAGGUACAGAGGCAGAACCAGGACACAGAGGUACAUAACACAGGACACAGAGGCAGAACCAGGACACAGAGGUACAUAACACAGAACACAGGACACAGAGGCAGAACCAGGACACAGAGGUGCAGAACAUAGGUACAAAGGCAGAACCAGGACACAGAGGUACAUAACACAGGUACAGAGGCAGAACCAGGACACAGAGGUACAUAACACAGGUACAGAGGCAGAACCAGGACACAGAGGUACAUAACACAGGUACAGAGGCAGAACCAGGACACAGAGGUACAUAACACAGGUACAGAGGCAGAACCAGGACACAGAGGUAUAGAACACAGGUACAGAGGCAGAACCAGGACACAGAGGUACAUAACACAGGUACAGAGGCAGAACCAGGACACAGGACACAGAGGUAUAGAACACAGGUACUGAGCCAAGACCAGAACACAGGGGUACUGAACACAAGUACAGAAGUACAGAGGCAGAACCAGGACACAGGUACAGAACACAGGUACAGAGGCAGAACCAGGACACAGAGGUACAGAACACAGGACACAGAGGUAUAGAACACAGGUACUGAGCCAAGACCAGAACACAGGGGUACUGAACACAAGUACAGAAGUACAGAGGCAGAACCAGGACACAGGUACAGAACACAGGUACAGAGGCAGAACCAGGACACACAGGUACAGAACACAGGACACAGAGGUAUAGAACACAGAACACAGGUACAGAGGCAGAACCAGGACACAGAGGUGCAGAACAGAGGUACAGAGGCAGAACACAGGACACAGAGGCAGAACCAGGACACAGAGGUACAUAACACAGAACACAGGACACAGAGGCAGAACCAGGACACAGAGGUGCAGAACAGAGGUACAGAGGCAGAACACAGGACACAGAGGUACAUAACACAGGACACAGAGGCAGAACACAGGACACAGAGGUGCAGAACAGAGGUACAGAGGCAGAACCAGGACACAGAGGUGCAGAACAGAGGCACAGACCACAUGACACAGAGGCACAGAGGCAGAACCAGGAUACAUGGUAAGGUGAGCUUCGUUAAGCCCUGGAUAUACUUGCUUUUAACUACAUGUUCGCGUACGUAAGAUGGCUGUCACGCAUUUCCUGCGUUCCUUUGGAGCGUAGCUUGUGCAAGUCCCCAGGAAUUAACGCUACGUGUCCACGAGAUGCAGUUCAGCACAUGAACAUGGGAGCAGUACGAUGUCUCGUUAAAAUCACAAGCUACUUGAGUGAAACUAUGUUUGGUUUGUUUACAAUGUGCGAAUGUGGAGGUUGUCAAGGAAGAUAAUCCGGUGUUGGCGAAGGAUGACCCGGUCCUGGUCUGUCCCCUUGUGGAUUCAGGUUUAAUCCUCCAGGUACACGCAAAGUAGGCAGGCAAGUAUGUGAACAAAGCCGUUUGUGUGGCCGACGCCUGUCUACGCAUUGUUAAAAAGUGAGUAUAUCCAGGGCUUCGAGCUCCAGGUUGUCCUGGCCGCACCAGAGAGCCAGCUGAUCAGCCUCUCGUCUGCAGGCCGACUCAUCACCGUCCCAGAUGAGGCCGCUGACCCUUCAGGAGUCUCUAUAAAACAUGAUUAUAGAAAAUAUAAACUAUCACUUUAUAUUGAUGAGAUUUCUGAGGAUGUGAUGUCAUGUGUGACCUCUGACUUCCU